Molecule: long non-coding RNA, 531 nt
Filed under: Pongo abelii (Sumatran orangutan)
Lineage: Eukaryota; Metazoa; Chordata; Mammalia; Primates; Hominidae
Description: lincRNA
Source: RNAcentral
GCCACAGUCCCCGCCACACAGGUCGUGGGUUCUCCUUUGAGAGUGACCACUGGUGCCUACAGCUUUUCCUGAACUGGAGACGGAUCCUGCCCUGGGGGUCUCAGUCACCGCGAGGACUCGAGGGUAACUGCCAGAGGGCGCAGGUGGCCUGAGGGCUAUUUUUAAAGAUUUUCUGUUUCCUUGAUUUCUCCUCCUUUGGAUUUAUUGGACUUCCUGAAUCUUUCAAGAAUCUAUCCAGUGUCUUUAAGAUAGCAAAACCAAGUGUCAAAAGCACCUUCUGCACAGUCUGCACACACUGGCCAGUGGUCCUGUUGCCGCAAGGUUGAGCUGUGUCCCACAGACAUGGGUCCUCCGGGUGAUGAGGAGCCGCUGGAGGGCCCUGAGCUGCACGUACUAAUGAUUAAUGCCCCGUCCGUGCUGGCCGGUUUCUCAAAUGCCUUGUGACGAUUGCGCACAGCCGGACAUCAUUUGUACUGAGAGAUCUGAGAAAAGGAAGUCACUGAGGCUUUCUGAGGUUAGCUGGGCGGCCAU